Molecule: transfer RNA, 73 nt
Filed under: Holosporales bacterium
Lineage: Bacteria; Pseudomonadati; Pseudomonadota; Alphaproteobacteria; Holosporales
Description: tRNA-Lys
Rfam family: tRNA
About the family: Transfer RNA (tRNA) molecules are approximately 80 nucleotides in length. Their secondary structure includes four short double-helical elements and three loops (D, anti-codon, and T loops).
Source: RNAcentral
GGGCCCUUAGCUCAGGUGGUAGAGCAUCUGACUUUUAAUCAGGGGGUCGAAGGUUCGAACCCUUCAGGGCCCA